GCAACGAGCGCAACCCACGUCUUUAGUUGCCAGCAUUAAGUUGGGCACUCUAGAGAGACUGCCGGUGAUAAACCGGAGGAAGGUGUGGAUGACGUCAAGUCAUCAUGCCCCUUACAUCCUGGGCUACACACGUACUACAAUGCUACGGACAAAGGGCAGCAAACUCGCGAGAGCUAGCAAAUCCCAUAAACCGUGGCUCAGUUCAGAUCGUAGGCUGCAACUCGCCUACGUGAAGGAGGAAUCGCUAGUAAUCGCAGGUCAGCAUACUGCGGUGAAUACGUUCCCGGGCCUUGUACACACCGCCCGUCACACCAUGGAAGUUGGCCACGCCCGAAGUCGUUACUCCAACCCGCAAGGGAGGAGGAUGCCGAAGGUGGGGCUGAUGACUGGGGUGAAGUCGUAACAAGGUAGCCGUACCGGAAGGUGCGGCUGGAUCACCUCCUAACAGGGAUACAAUAACUAAUCGUGAUGUCUGAGUAAUUUAUUCUCAGGCCAUGAUUCUGUCAUCUCUAAGGUCGAUCGGUACCUCAAUUUGAGAAGCAGUGAAGGGUUGGGCAACCAACCUGGAGAUUGGUGAAUCAAUUUCAGUUCCUAAACUUUGUCUAGGUCACCCCAAAGCGGGUUACACUCCUGGGCCAUUAGCUCAGGUGGUUAGAGCGCACCCCUGAUAAGGGUGAGGUCCCUGGUUCAAGUCCAGGAUGGCCCAUUCGCGUUUGGGGGUUUAGCUCAGUUGGUAGAGCGCCUGCUUUGCAAGCAGGAUGUCAGCGGUUCGAGUCCGCUAACCUCCAUCCAAUGUUUGCUCAGCCUUCAAGCCAAACCAGUUAUGCCAUUGCAUAGAAACUAAGUGUGCCGCAGAGCACUAUAGCAGGGAACUACAGCAUGGCAGCGUAGCAGGGGAGUGCAGCCGUGUAGGUGAUCUGGAAAAUUUGCUGUUGAUUUCAGCUUCUUUCCAUCGAUAGGAUGGAAGGACGCUGGAUUCAUAAUUGCCCCUUAAAUGGGGCAGUGUGUGUUUCAGCAGAACCUUGACAACUGUAUAGGAAAGUCUGGAAAUAAAGCAUCUCAUGGAUGCUUGAUUUUUAGCCCGAUCGCUGGUUCAGCAAUGGACUGGAGGAGGGAGAAGAAUCAAGAAAAUUCUAUUGAGUUUUAAGAGCCGAGAGCUUUCAGUUUUCUUACCUGUCCGCCGAGGACAAGUGAGUUUGAUCCUGGCAUUCAAACCGCAUUAGUUUCCAUAAGUAAUUAUGGAGUCUGGUGUAGGUGAAUCCAGCGAGAAUCGGCCUCAACAGCCGCGCGUAGCUCGAGAAAUCGAAGCUGCCAAGAACUGGAAGUAUAAAUUGGUCAAGCUACAAAGGG
This 1350-nucleotide unclassified non-coding RNA is filed under the name uncultured cyanobacterium. RNAcentral's name for it is "bacterial SSU rRNA". The stretch from base 1 to 445 matches the Rfam family "Bacterial small subunit ribosomal RNA", at positions 1089 to 1533 of the family's 1533-position model. Lineage: Bacteria; Bacillati; Cyanobacteriota. The record is from RNAcentral.